GUAUGGUGUGAAGAGGCGAAGUCUACCUUCCGGGUCCCCAAGAGGCUCCAGGGAGGCAGAGCCGUGCCUACCCCCUGUCCUCCACCAGGGGGUGCUAAGGCUGAGGGCAGGGAGGGAGCACACCGUCCAGCAAAGGGCCCAGAGGCCGAGAGAAAAGCUCACAUGGUCAGGGGCGUCUGUGGGAAGGGAAAUCUGAUAUUUUGUCCUUGGGAUGGAUGUUCUGCUCAGACCCCGAGUCUGCUGAGCAGCCGCAGCCCCCUGGAAGGGGGAGGGACUGGGGAAGCCGGAGGCCAGUGCGCUGCCCCCAGGGGUUCUGAGCUGGGUCCCCUGAGGCACCUACCAGACACUGCUGGAUGGGGCCGGGGGAGGGCUUGGGGCGGGUGAGGCCGGAGGGCUGGUCAGAGGAAGAGGGAGCGGAGUGGACACCUGCUCCUCCCUCACCCUCAGGUGCUGCUCAGAUGUCACCUCCUCAGACAGACUUUCCCUGAGCACCCCCCACCCUCCACCCCUACCGCAUCCCCCGGUCUAAACUAGGCCUUCUUUGCAGCCUUUCUCUGCAGAAUUUUCUUCGUAGCACUUAAUGCUACCUGACAUUGCAUUUGGCUGAACCGUAUACAAUUGUCAAAUGCCAGCAAUUUCAUACAGUUCAACCUAAUACUACAUAUUCAGCGGUUCUUCAUCUGCCUCCGCCACUGGAAUGUAGCUCCACGCGGUUGGGAUUUUUAUCUGUGGCGUUUCUGCUACAUCCGCAGUGCCUAGAUGAGUCCCUGGCACAAAGCGGACCCUCAGUAAAUGUUGAAUGAAUAGGUGAAUGAAUCCUUGGGCUGGGAAUUUGGCAAAAGACUUGAUGAAGGAGUUCGAUUCGACUAGGGAGCUGCAUCUAGGGCAGGGACUGACCAGAGAGGGCUGGGGCUCGGGCGGGGCAGAGCGGGUACCCAGGGCCAGGACAGAUGGGGCUGUAGUGUGGGAGAAGCUGUCACGUUCCUGAGACAAGAUGGGUGGCCAGGAUGGGGAACAUAGGCAGCCAGCCUCAUAAUCAUGUGGGCUUUUGUCUCAAUUUUUAGGAGGCCGGUCAUCAUUCCCAAAACCAUGUCCCUGCCCUCCAGAGGCUCACAGCCUCGCCAGGAAGACAACGCCACAAUGACAGCCACUCCUCAGGCACUUGCCAGGCGCCAGGCAGUCUAGCUGGUGGUUAAAUGUGCAGACUCUGGAGCAGGACAGCAGGUUCAAAGACCACAUCCACCACCUUCUUGGUCAUAUGUGACUUUGGGUAAAUCACCUAACACCUCUGGGCCUCAGUUUCUCCAUCUGUACGAGGGGAAUCGCAGUAUCCAGACAGAGGAAAACAGCCCUGGCAUCUGGGAGCUGCCCGGUCCUAUCAGCCAGGCCUCGGUGUUGCUCGGGCUGGCCUGGCACAGCUGGUCCUGGUGCUCCUGCUGAACACAGAAAAGCCAUCUGUGACCGUGACGGAUGGAGACAAAAACAGGACCACUCGGGCAGAAACCAAUGCAACAGCAUUGGGCCAGUGUCUGGGACGAGCAGAGCAGAGGGACCUUGGAGCUCAAAGAGAAGAGAGGCCCCAGGCUGCAGAGGGCAAGCCCCCAGGAUGUGCUCAGCGACCUUCUCUCUUCCUCUCCCAUUGGUGAUGCCCUCACUGGAUCCAAGGCCGCCUGGCUGCUGAGUAAACACAGGCCCAGCUGAGGCCCGAGGUGGGGGUCAGUGUCGGCAGAGUCUGAGGCCUGAGUCACUUCCUGAUCAUUGCUUAAGAGGCGUCCGGAGCCACAGCCUGAGUGGCCAGCUCGUGCCCUUGCAGGAUUGCAGCCACUUGGGCAAUGAGCACUUCCGUGGUAUUCCUCACCUUUCCAGGCUCAGCUCUGCCAGCUCAGGUUUCUGAGACCCACAACAGAGAGGCUGAAGCCCUGCUCCCACCUGGAGAACUGGAUCCUCAACCCAGAAGGAAACCUAAGUCUCCUGGACAACCCUCUUGCCUGUGCCCAGCCUUAGGUGCUGGCUUCCUGGACCCACCCCAACCUCAGAAUCAGGGUGCCUUCCACUGGCACCACCAACCCCAAAGUUCUGAAACUCCUGCAGCCCUCCCCGGCACGGAGCCCCUGCCCUGUCCCCCCACAGGGUCUCAGGGCUGAAGGAGGGCUGGGGCAGAGAAGAGGGUGGGGAAUAUGUCAGAGAGCUCAGGGCAGGAUGUACUGAGGGAGACACGGCUUGAUCAGUGGACAUGUCCUCACGAUGUGGGCGAGGCUGACGAUGUGAAAUGCAGGCCACCUCCUUUAAGGAGACCCAGAGACACUGCAUAGCCUUGUGGCCGAGAGCAUGGACUCUAGAACCAGGCUACCAGCUUCCCCAUCUCAGCUCUGCCCUUUACCAGCUGUGCUACCUUCGGCAAGUUACUUCACCUCUCUGUACCUCAGGUUCCUCAUCUCUAAAAUGAGAAUAAUAAUAGUACUGACUCAUAGGCCUCUCACCAGGAUUAAGGGAGUUGUGUAUGUAAAACACUUAGAAUAAUGACUGGCGCAUGGCAAACACAGUGUUCAUUAAAUAAAUAUUUUUUC
Equus caballus (horse) is the source of this 2567-nucleotide long non-coding RNA. The record is from Ensembl. NCBI's taxonomy places the organism in Eukaryota, Metazoa, Chordata, Mammalia, Perissodactyla, Equidae.